Molecule: long non-coding RNA, 305 nt
Organism: Ahaetulla prasina
Lineage: Eukaryota; Metazoa; Chordata; Lepidosauria; Squamata; Colubridae
Exons: 3
Source: RefSeq, a predicted model, not a curated record
CCUCCUUCUUUUUUGUCUAGGCUACUGGAAAUGUCUUGAACGGGGGGAAAGAGGGUUUUCCAAAAUCCCAGCCAACCAGGGCUUCCAUUGUAGAAUUUUCAAACAUAAACGCAGCAGACUUCAUAGAAAAAGGAGGAGUAACUGAUGGGAUUGAAAAUGACAACAAAGGUAAUAAGGAUGCGGCUCUUGAGCAGUGCGUGGACUUCAUCUUGGAAGAAAAGAAGGAAGCAGGUAAAAGGCCCUUGGCAUUAUGGGAUGUUCCUCUGAAUUGCAGGGAGACAAUUUCCCUGUUUGGAUCCUGGGAG